AACUGCUCACAUUUGCUUCCUUUGUGACGCUAGGUUUAGCAACUGGAGGUAAUGUAUAAGUAAACGGCGUGUUUUCGCUGCCCGAGGAUGCCUCUCAUCCCCUAUCACCUUCCCCUGAACUCUGCCACCCUUUCAGUGGAGGUGCUCCAAGGCAAGGCCGCUGAGGGAUUUCUUCCUGGUCAAAUUUCCAGUUCAAGUGGUUAUGGAUCUCUGAAGGGAUGGCCUCCAGGGGACCUCGCUUCAGACUGACGGCUCCCACCUGUUUACCAUUAGGCUGUCCAUAUUAACCUUUGCCUUGUUUGCCUGACUUUGCCCAUCUCUGAUUUCAGGCUGAGAGUUACAGGACAGAAGUGGAAUACAAUGUUGCAGAAGGCUAACCCCAAGGGCAGCUCCAGAGUGAAGUUCCUAAGUGAAGUGUCUCACCCUGCGAUCCCAGGCCUUUAACUUGGGAGGAGAAAUGGCAACAGAAGUCAACAUAUUCUGCUAAUGUUGACAACACAAAGAAAAGAGUUCCAAGACAAAUCUAUAUGUGACAAACUUCCAUGCGUAAGAACAUAGACUACAAGAAAUAUGACAUAUUGUCAGUCCUCAGACCUCAGUAAAUAUAGACAUGAUUGUCUACUUCACACAGGAGGGAUCUGAGACACAAGAUAGACUUGGAGUUUUGCAAACGCUCAAAUGUCACGUGGAGUGAGGCCUGACAGAGACCCCAGAAAGUCAAGAGAGACCUGGAAUCAAAUAAUCUGUGCCACACUUAAGAGAAUGUGUACAACUCGGAGCAAGCACUUUUAACGUUACUACACUUUGAUCUCCUCCACUAAUUAUAAUUAUUGUGAGCUAUGAGCUAUGAAGAUAAAAAUUCAUACAAAGUUCUUCACAGAGUAGGUAAGGUGUUUCAGA
Mesocricetus auratus (golden hamster) is the source of this 900-nucleotide long non-coding RNA. RefSeq lists it as uncharacterized. Lineage: Eukaryota; Metazoa; Chordata; Mammalia; Rodentia; Cricetidae. The record is from RefSeq and is a predicted model, not a curated record. The transcript is spliced from 3 exons.